CCUUGACAGCGUAAGCUGACAAUAGCCAAGACAAGGAGAAUAACAUG
RNAcentral lists this non-coding RNA (47 nucleotides) under unclassified sequences. Its description in RNAcentral is "Mu-gpT-DE RNA". It matches the Rfam family "Mu-gpT-DE RNA". The record is from Rfam by way of RNAcentral.